CGGCGGCCACCGCUAUAGGAAUUCGAUUAAGACAUGCGAGUCGAGAGUCGUAAUGGACUCGGCGAACUGCUCAGUAACACGUGGAUAACGUGCCCUUAAGUGGAGGAUAAUCUCGGGAAACUGAGGAUAAUACUCCAUAGAUUAUGGAAUCUGGAAUGAUCCAUAGUCGAAAGUUCCGGCGCUUAAGGAUCGGUCUGCGGCCUAUCAGGUUGUAGUGGGUGUAACGUACCUACUAGCCUAUGACGGGUAUGGGCCUUGAGAGAGGGAGCCCAGAGUUGGAUUCUGAGACACGAAUCCAGGCCCUACGGGGCGCAGCAGUCGCGAAAACUUCACAAUGGGGGCAACCCCGAUGAGGGAAUUCCUAGUGCUAGCACAAUUGUGUUAGCUUUUCUCUAGCGUAGAUAACUGGAGGAAU
RNAcentral lists this ribosomal RNA (415 nucleotides) under uncultured archaeon. Its description in RNAcentral is "SSU rRNA". It matches the Rfam family "Archaeal small subunit ribosomal RNA", at positions 18 to 436 of the family's 1478-position model. The record is from RNAcentral.